This is a long non-coding RNA of Musca domestica (house fly), 1654 nucleotides long. RefSeq lists it as uncharacterized. NCBI's taxonomy places the organism in Eukaryota, Metazoa, Arthropoda, Insecta, Diptera, Muscidae. The transcript is spliced from 4 exons. The record is from RefSeq and is a predicted model, not a curated record.
AAAUAAACAAAUACAUAAUUAUUGUGUCCGUUACGAAAAGUAAUAGAACAAUUUUUAAUUAAUAAAAACGUGUGUGAAUUUAUUGGAAACUAUAAAUUAAAUGUGCGCGAACGAAAACGUGUUUUUCAUAUAACCUAUAUUUGUUAUUUUUUACAUAGGAGUGUACAAUGGAGAAGAAAAAGAAAUUUGUGAAAAAACAACUAAAUAUAAGUCGAAGAAGGCUCGCGUCUUUCACCUUUUCGAAAAAGACAGUUGCGAUGUAAGGAAUCUGCUAACUCUGGUGAAUGCCUUGGAAUUCCACACAUUGUAUGCAUCGGAACGAUUGUGUUGACAAAGGAUAAUGAUUUGAAAUUUUACGUGUGUCUGUCCGAUACAACGGAACAAGAUUAAUCCGUAUUUCUUGAGAGAACUGCUAAUUGUAAAUAUUUGACCAUUGAGUUUUUGCAAUCCUUUCAGUUUCGAUCUCAAUACUUUUGGGAAAUAUAUUGCCAAAAAGCAGAUGAGAAAUGCUUCAAAAAUAACUUCCGGGUCAGCAGAGAGGUUUUCAACAAAUCGUGUGAAUUGCUAAAUGGGCUACAAAAAUCCUAUACAAAUAUGCGAGAAGUAAUACCAUUGAAAAAAAGAGUUACAAUAGGUUUAUAUACCUUGAGAUCUUCUGCCGAGUACCGCACAAUAGCAAACAUGUUUGGAGUUGGAAAGAGUACAGUCUGUAAAAUACUCUUGCAGUUUUGCAAUGAGGUCUGGAGAGUUCUUGCUCUAAUUUUCCAAAAAAAGUUCUUGCUCCAAAAAUUUUCCCCUAACAAGAGAAAAGAUAGAAGUACUCUGUCAAUAAUUUGAAAUACUAGGGUUUCCGCAAUGUAUAGGUGCGCUGGACGGUUGCCACAUUGAGGUUCAUCCAUCUAAGGAAGACGCUACAGAUUACUACAACUACAAGGGAUGAUACUCAGUCGUACUGCUUGCAUUGGUAGAUGCGAGAUGUGGUUUCAUUUAUGUUAGUUGUGGGAGUCCAGGACGUUGCAUAGAUUCUCAGAUCUUUGAAGGUUCUUCCCUCAAACAGCAGCUUAACGAAUGCAGCCAUUUAAAGGAAGUAAAACGAAAUAUUUUGGGCGUUGAGGUUCCAGCCCUUAUAAUCGGCGAUUCGGCAUUAAAAUUAAGCGACAAGUUGAUGAAACCUUAUCCAUUUCAACUGUCACAAAAUCUCGAGCAAAAAUGCUUUAAUUACACGUUGUCAAAAUCACGCAGAGUAGUUGAAAAUGCCUUAAGGCACGUUUUCGACGAAUCGGAAAAGCGAGCACAAUGAUGUUGUUAACGACAAGUGGUUGAAAGCAUUACAAUCUGUUGAGGCAAAUAUAUCCUAUCCUGAAGAAAUUAUAAUUCAUGCAGAUCAAAGCAGCGGCCAUAAUGGGGAAGAAAUACGAAAUGAUAUUUCAAUAUAUUUAUGUAAGUAUUAUUGAUCCCAGUAAAAUGCUAUUGUCAAAGAAGAGUUGACAUAUGCACAUUAAAUAUAUGCAGGCAUUCAUUUUUUAAAUAUAUAUUCUUUACCAUUUUUUAAGUGCAAAAAAAUUGUUAUAACGAAGAGGACGACAUGUACAAUAUUAAUGAAGCUAAUUCAUUUUUAAAUGUGGAGGAAAAAUACACGUUCCCUUCUGGAGAA